This 539-nucleotide ribosomal RNA is filed under the name uncultured bacterium. Its description in RNAcentral is "bacterial SSU rRNA". It matches the Rfam family "Bacterial small subunit ribosomal RNA", at positions 355 to 896 of the family's 1533-position model. The record is from RNAcentral.
UGAGGAAUAUUGGACAAUGGGCGCAAGCCUGAUCCAGCCAUGCCGCGUGCAGGAUGACGGUCCUAUGGAUUGUAAACUGCUUUUAUACGAGAAGAAACACUCCUUCGUGAAGGAGCUUGACGGUAUCGUAAGAAUAAGGAUCGGCUAACUCCGUGCCAGCAGCCGCGGUAAUACGGAGGAUCCAAGCGUUAUCCGGAAUCAUUGGGUUUAAAGGGUCCGUAGGCGGUUUAGUAAGUCAGUGGUGAAAGCCCAUCGCUCAACGGUGGAACGGCCAUUGAUACUGCUAGACUUGAAUUAUUAGGAAGUAACUAGAAUAUGUAGUGUAGCGGUGAAAUGCUUAGAGAUUACAUGGAAUACCAAUUGCGAAGGCAGGUUACUACUAAUAUAUUGACGCUGAUGGACGAAAGCGUGGGUAGCGAACAGGAUUAGAUACCCUGGUAGUCCACGCCGUAAACGAUGGAUACUAGCUGUUGGGAGCAAUCUCAGUGGCUAAGCGAAAGUGAUAAGUAUCCCACCUGGGGAGUACGAACGCAAGUUUG